CCUACGGGUGGCAGCAGUAGGGAAUCUUCCGCAAUGGGCGAAAGCCUGACGGAGCAAUGCCGCGUGAGUGAAGAAGGCCUUCGGGUCGUAAAACUCUGUUAUAAGAGAAGAACAAAUUGUAGAGUAACUGCUACAGUCUUGACGGUAUCUUAUCAGAAAGCCACGGCUAACUACGUGCCAGCAGCCGCGGUAAUACGUAGGUGGCAAGCGUUGUCCGGAUUUAUUGGGCGUAAAGGGAGCGCAGGUGGUUUCUUAAGUCUGAUGUGAAAGCCCACGGCUUAACCGUGGAGGGUCAUUGGAAACUGGGAAACUUGAGUACAGAAGAGGAAUGUGGAACUCCAUGUGUAGCGGUGGAAUGCGUAGAUAUAUGGAAGAACACCAGUGGCGAAGGCGACAUUCUGGUCUGUUACUGACACUGAGGCUCGAAAGCGU
This 432-nucleotide ribosomal RNA is filed under the name uncultured bacterium. RNAcentral's name for it is "bacterial SSU rRNA". It matches the Rfam family "Bacterial small subunit ribosomal RNA", at positions 338 to 762 of the family's 1533-position model. The record is from RNAcentral.